GCCAUGAACAUGUCCCAGUCUUAUGAGAGCUUAGAGAAUAGCCUUUACUAACAUUCUUCUUGAAGCGGCUUCAACUUCGCCCUCACAUAGGUGAUUUCUAAACGUUUAUCUUGUAGAUUAAACUAUUUGGUCAAAUCUGCCAAAUUUAGAUAAUCAUUAAAAGACUUUACACCAUAAGUCUUAUGGUUGUUUACUAAACAUUGUCUACAUCAUGAGAAUGGGUAGGGUAUAUUGACAAUGCCGAACCUGUCAAAUGAUCUUGGGUGUAUUUAUAUGCCUAAGCACCAUAACUUACCCAUAAUUUAUCUAAGUUUUGAGAACAAAGUGUCUAGUUUCUUAUGUUCUUACUCUACUUUGAUGUAAUUGAGCUAACCUAUGUGAUUAGCAUAAUUUCAGGUGUUAAUGAGGUAGAUAGAGACAUGAUGGGACUACGGAUUGCGGAAUGACAAAUCACACAAGAGAAAAGUAGCUUGUUAGACCAAAUAUGGCGCCUAAAAACUAUGUCCAAGACUAAUUUGUCCUUUAUAAUUAGUUCAGGGACUUAGAAGGCAAUUAUGAGAGAAAAGAUUAUUAAAAAGACUUGAUGCUGAAUUUUUAUCAUUAUUCAUUAUUCUGUAUUAUUUUUGCACUGAGAGUGGCGGCUUAGCACCAAG
RNAcentral lists this long non-coding RNA (653 nucleotides) under Capsicum annuum. RNAcentral describes it as "long non-coding RNA (CANN_LNC007989)". Lineage: Eukaryota; Viridiplantae; Streptophyta; Magnoliopsida; Solanales; Solanaceae. The record is from RNAcentral.